UGAAGCUCAAACUCUCCUCGCACACAUCACAUGCAGAUGGAGCAUGUUCAGAUGUCGUCUUUGUUAGCCGAGUGGCUUCUUCCUUUGUGUGGUCAAGCAUGGAGCAGAUGAGCCUUGAAGAGAGAGCUGAAUGCACCAAAUGGGCUCGGAGCCAGCGAUAGAUUGCAGAUGAAAGGGGAGAAAGAAGGGGGAAGAUGUUAAUGAAGCGGAGGGGAAGAGACAAGAGGUCCCUGGGGACUCGGACGCCUCCUGGGACUUGUUUCGCUGUGAGGCCACGCUGGCCCCCACGUCCACAGCUCCACGUGGAGAAGAUGUGUCAGAGGAUGUUCUGGGUCAGCCAUGGGAAGAGAUCACGUCUGAGCAGAUAACAGCUUUCUGCUAAAUUACCACUGAUGCUACUG
Molecule: long non-coding RNA, 401 nt
Organism: Gasterosteus aculeatus aculeatus (three-spined stickleback)
Lineage: Eukaryota; Metazoa; Chordata; Actinopteri; Perciformes; Gasterosteidae
Source: Ensembl